RNAcentral lists this ribosomal RNA (468 nucleotides) under uncultured bacterium. RNAcentral describes it as "partial 16S ribosomal RNA". It matches the Rfam family "Bacterial small subunit ribosomal RNA", at positions 28 to 507 of the family's 1533-position model. The record is from RNAcentral.
GACGAACGCUGGCGGCGUGCUUAACACAUGCAAGUCGAACGGAAAGGCCCUGCUUUUGUGGGGUGCUCGAGUGGCGAACGGGUGAGUAACACGUGAGUAACCUGCCCUUGACUUUGGGAUAACUUCAGGAAACUGGGGCUAAUACCGGAUAGGAGCUCCUGCUGCAUGGUGGGGGUUGGAAAGGUUCGGCGGUUGGGGAUGGACUCGCGGCUUAUCAGCUUGUUGGUGGGGUAGUGGCUUACCAAGGCUUUGACGGGUAGCCGGCCUGAGCGGGUGACCGGCGACAUUGGGACUGAGAUACGGCCCAGACUCCUACGGGAGGCAGCAGUGGGGAAUAUUGCACAAUGGGCGGAAGCCUGAUGCAGCAACGCCGCGUGCGGGAUGACGGCCUUCGGGUUGUAAACCGCUUUCGCCUGUGACGAAGCGUGAGUGACGGUAAUGGGUAAAGAAGCACCGGCUAACUACGUG